Nicotiana tabacum (common tobacco) is the source of this 2529-nucleotide long non-coding RNA. RefSeq lists it as uncharacterized. NCBI's taxonomy places the organism in Eukaryota, Viridiplantae, Streptophyta, Magnoliopsida, Solanales, Solanaceae. The record is from RefSeq and is a predicted model, not a curated record.
GAAACUCUUCUCCUCAGUCCUCACUCUCACUGGAACUCACCGGUCGUUGCUGGCUAAGUCUUGUUUACAACUCGCCGGUCGCUGCUGCUGCCAGUAGCACUGUUCAAAUAUAGUCUGGGACUCUCUUAAUAGAUGGAAUCUUCAACCGGAAUAAAGGUGGAGAUGAUUGUCAACAAUCAUCCGGCUAUGCCGGUAGUACCUCAAAAGAAAGGUAAAAGCGCUCCUUAUACAGUCCCUCCUCUCAAAAAGCAAAAAAGAACUGGUAAUACUGGAAGAGAAACGUCUGAAAUUUGGGAUCACUUCACCAAAUUUAUUGAUAAAGGAGAUAAACAUAGAGCAAAAUGCAAUUAUUGCAUAAAACACUUUGCUUCUGAUACCACAACUAAUGGAACUUCUGCAUUAUGGAAACAUUUACUUGAGAAGUGUCUUAAAUCUCCCUUUAGAUUUAUUAACAGGAAGCAAACAACAUCGAAACUUACGCCUACCAAAGAAGAGGGACAAGAAACUGAUACAAGUUCUAUUGAAAGGGUGGUGUGUAAUGUGGAGGAUAUUAGGAGGGCAAUUGCCGAAUUUGUUAUAAUUGAUGGGCAAUCACUUAAAGUUGUUGAGGGGGAAGGAUUUAAGAAAUUAAUAGCUAAAGUCUUGCCUAGCUUUGAAUUACCUUGUCAUGUAACUGUUGCUAGACAUUGUUUGAAGAUUUAUCAAGAGGAGAAAGAAAAGCUUAAAAAACUUGUCAAGAACCAACGUGUAUGUCUUACUAGUGAUACAUGGACAUCACUCCAUAACUUGGCUUAUAUGGAUGUAACUGCCUAUUGGAUUGAUGAUGAUUGGAAUUUACAAAAGAAGAUUCUUAACUUUUUCCAAAACACCGGAUCACAAGGGUGAGACUAUUGCUAAGGGUAUUGAGGCAUGCUUGUUAGAUUGGGGGAUUGAGAACUUGUUUACAGUGACCCUGCAUAAUGCAAGUGCAAACGAUGCUGCCAUUAAGCAUUUGAAAGCAUAUAUUGAUGAUUGGAAAGGGGUGAUAUUGGGAAAUGAGUUUUUACAUGUUAGAUGUAAUGCUCGUAUUUUGAACUUUAUCGUAAAAGAUGAGUUAGAUGAACAAAUUGAGCCCAUUUCUCGUAUAAGGAAUGCAGUGAAAUAUGUCAAGUCUUCGCCUUCAAGGUUUGCUUCAUUCAAGUUAUCUGUUGAGAAAGUUAAGAUAGAUACUCAUGGUCUUUUGAGUCUUGAUGUUGAAAAUAGGUGGAACUCGACGUAUACUAUGUUAGAUACAGCUUUGAGGUUUGAAAAGGCAUUUACAAGAAUGCACAUGGAUGACUAUAUGUACCAACAAUAUUUUCGAGAGAGGAGUGGAAUAAGAGGACAUCCAUCUGUAGAUGAUUGGAAGACUGUGAAAGUUCUUAUCAAGUUCCUUAAUAUUUUCCACCAGACCACUUUGAAGUUUUCAGGAAGCUUAUAUGCCACUUCGAAUUCUUUCUUGCAUGAAUUUUUAAUGUUCGAAAUGCUAUUAUUAAGUAUUCUCAUAGUGAAGAUCUUAUUUUGAUUGAUAUGGCUAAAAGGAUGAAAAGUAGGUUUGAUAAAUAUUGGGGUAACUUUGAGAAUUUGAACAUGCUAUUGGUCAUUGCCGUUGUGUUGGAUCCGAGAUAUAAGAUGAAGUAUGUGAACUUCAUUCUUAGCAAAUCAUAUGAUUCUUUGUCGGGAAGAUUGAAAUUGGAUCAGGUGGCAGGUGUUUUGACUCGAUUAUAUGAUCGCUACAACGAUUCAUUGUCGGAAGCUUCUAAUGAUGAUAUUGGGGUUGAUACUAGCAUGAUGAGUGAAGCUGGUGAUACAUUGCAAUCUCAAUGUGAGAAACAUUUGGAAGAAGAGGGAAAUAUUGAAAAAAAAUCUGAGCUUGAGAAAUACUUGAUGGAUAAUGUAGAGAAGACCAAGGAUUUAAAUAUCUUGGCUUGGUGGAAAGCUUCAUCUAAUAGAUAUCCAAUUGUUUCAAAAAUGGCAAGGGAUAUUCUUUCUAUUCCUAUUUCUACCAUUACAUCUGAGUCAACUUUCAAUACUAGUGGUCAAAUUCUUGAUUCUUAUUGGAGCUCUUUACCACCAAAGACGGCAGAAGCUUUUAUUUGCACUCAACAAUGGAUACGGUCACCUUCCGAAGAAUGCAAGUUUUAGGACCUUUUAGAGGAAGUUCAGAAAAUUGAGCAAGUUGAAGAAGAAUAUCCAGGAGCGCCUUUGAGUAUUGAUUAGUUCGGACGAACCUGGUGUUUAUUUCUGACUCUUGUCACCUAGAACUCUUGGCUAGUUAGAUGGGAUGUAGUUUUUGGGUUACCGAGUCUAUGAAUCAGCGUUCAUUUUAUUUUGGUUGAACAUCAAAAUUGCUGGACUAAGCUGCGAGAACUCUGUAUGAAUUCUCUUCUUUUGUUUUGUGCUCAUUUUGGCUGCAGCCUUCAAUCUGGUAAAUUUAGCAGAUUGAACUUGGAUGUUUCAAUGGAAGUCUUUUGUACUCAUGUAAGUUUCAGUCUUUGCUUGAGAUUAUUU